AUCUCGAAGAAAGUAUGAUGGUACGUAUCCUUCCCCACAUCGUCGAGAUCGUUAUGCUUGCCGCCGGCGCGGAUGCAUUUCUGAGUGUUGCAGGCGCGGGUGAGGCGGCCGAGCGGGUUGUUGGGGUUGACGGUGCCGAGGAAGAUCGGCUUGAACUGGUUCAUGCCGGCGUUGGCGAAGAGGAGGGUGGGGUCAUCGACGGGGACGACGGGGGAGGAGGGCCAGUUGUUGUGGGACUUGGAUUCGAAGAAGCAGAUGAAGGUGUCACGGACGAGGCUGGCGGGCCAGGAUGGGGGAUCG
This 300-nucleotide unclassified non-coding RNA is filed under the name Hevea brasiliensis (rubber tree). Lineage: Eukaryota; Viridiplantae; Streptophyta; Magnoliopsida; Malpighiales; Euphorbiaceae. The record is from RNAcentral.